AAAUUGAAGAGUUUGAUCAUGGCUCAGAUUGAACGCUGGCGGCAGGCCUAACACAUGCAAGUCGAGCGGUAGCACAGAGAGCUUGCUCUCGGGUGACGAGCGGCGGACGGGUGAGUAAUGUCUGGGAAACUGCCUGAUGGAGGGGGAUAACUACUGGAAACGGUAGCUAAUACCGCAUAACGUCGCAAGACCAAAGUGGGGGACCUUCGGGCCUCAUGCCAUCAGAUGUGCCCAGAUGGGAUUAGCUAGUAGGUGGGGUAAUGGCUCACCUAGGCGACGAUCCCUAGCUGGUCUGAGAGGAUGACCAGCCACACUGGAACUGAGACACGGUCCAGACUCCUACGGGAGGCAGCAGUGGGGAAUAUUGCACAAUGGGCGCAAGCCUGAUGCAGCCAUGCCGCGUGUAUGAAGAAGGCCUUCGGGUUGUAAAGUACUUUCAGCGAGGAGGAAGGCGUUAAGGUUAAUAACCUUAGCGAUUGACGUUACUCGCAGAAGAAGCACCGGCUAACUCCGUGCCAGCAGCCGCGGUAAUACGGAGGGUGCAAGCGUUAAUCGGAAUUACUGGGCGUAAAGCGCACGCAGGCGGUCUGUCAAGUCGGAUGUGAAAUCCCCGGGCUCAACCUGGGAACUGCAUUCGAAACUGGCAGGCUAGAGUCUUGUAGAGGGGGGUAGAAUUCCAGGUGUAGCGGUGAAAUGCGUAGAGAUCUGGAGGAAUACCGGUGGCGAAGGCGGCCCCCUGGACAAAGACUGACGCUCAGGUGCGAAAGCGUGGGGAGCAAACAGGAUUAGAUACCCUGGUAGUCCACGCCGUAAACGAUGUCGACUUGGAGGUUGUGCCCUUGAGGCGUGGCUUCCGGAGCUAACGCGUUAAGUCGACCGCCUGGGGAGUACGGCCGCAAGGUUAAAACUCAAAUGAAUUGACGGGGGCCCGCACAAGCGGUGGAGCAUGUGGUUUAAUUCGAUGCAACGCGAAGAACCUUACCUACUCUUGACAUCCAGAGAACUUAGCAGAGAUGCUUUGGUGCCUUCGGGAACUCUGAGACAGGUGCUGCAUGGCUGUCGUCAGCUCGUGUUGUGAAAUGUUGGGUUAAGUCCCGCAACGAGCGCAACCCUUAUCCUUUGUUGCCAGCGGUCCGGCCGGGAACUCAAAGGAGACUGCCAGUGAUAAACUGGAGGAAGGUGGGGAUGACGUCAAGUCAUCAUGGCCCUUACGAGUAGGGCUACACACGUGCUACAAUGGCAUAUACAAAGAGAAGCGACCUCGCGAGAGCAAGCGGACCUCAUAAAGUAUGUCGUAGUCCGGAUUGGAGUCUGCAACUCGACUCCAUGAAGUCGGAAUCGCUAGUAAUCGUAGAUCAGAAUGCUACGGUGAAUACGUUCCCGGGCCUUGUACACACCGCCCGUCACACCAUGGGAGUGGGUUGCAAAAGAAGUAGGUAGCUUAACCUUCGGGAGGGCGCUUACCACUUUGUGAUUCAUGACUGGGGUGAAGUCGUAACAAGGUAACCGUAGGGGAACCUGCGGUUGGAUCACCUCCUUA
RNAcentral lists this ribosomal RNA (1540 nucleotides) under Klebsiella aerogenes. Its description in RNAcentral is "bacterial SSU rRNA". It matches the Rfam family "Bacterial small subunit ribosomal RNA". RNAcentral also lists the same sequence under 1 other name. The record is from RNAcentral. Lineage: Bacteria; Pseudomonadati; Pseudomonadota; Gammaproteobacteria; Enterobacterales; Enterobacteriaceae.